Long non-coding RNA from Leptinotarsa decemlineata (Colorado potato beetle), 3111 nucleotides. The record is from RefSeq and is a predicted model, not a curated record. NCBI's taxonomy places the organism in Eukaryota, Metazoa, Arthropoda, Insecta, Coleoptera, Chrysomelidae.
ACAUCCCUGUAAAGAGUUUAUUUUGAAAUUAAUCGCUUCUUUCUUCUCUUUGGAAGAUUCCCACAUUUUUUUGCAUAUAGAUGAAUAAAAAGAAAGUCCAAAACAUUUCAAGUUCAAUCUGUCAAUCAUUUCUAUUUUGUGUGAGGAAAUCUUGGAUAGUAUGAUGUCAAGUUCUUUGAGUUACCAAAUGAUUACUUGAGUUUUUGGAACAGAAUUACCACAGUUUAGCGUGUACAAGUCAUGUAUUGGGUCAGUUCUUGGUAAUGAGUUGUGAGAAAUUAUUCAUCAUUUUUUUUAUUAUUUUCAUUAGAUUCAACUGGUAGUAUUUGUUACAAAUGUAAGGUUCCGGACAGAUUUAUUACUUUGCUAUAUUCCUACUUCGACAAAUGUUCAUUCGUGUGAUAUUAUUUAAGAAAUAGGCAAUAUAGUUUUGAAUCUUAUCAUAUCAUUAAUCAUGGUGUCUUGAUCUAAACUGCCAAGAGAUAAACUUAUAUGUGUUCCUCUAUGAAAACACAAACUAGUUGACUAGAGUAUGUUUAGUUUUUAUUAAGUUGUUACAGCGGACGUGAUGUAAAAUUCUCAUUUGUCACACAGGCGCAGUUUCUCUAAGAAUUAUUGGAAUAGUGCAAGUUUUUAAAUGAAGAGAAAAGAUUGGAACUAACUUUGCCAUCAUUUGUAUCUUCUUAAAUAUCUCUUUGGAAAAUAGUUUGCCAAUUAUUUGUCAUACAUGGAGUUUAAUAUAUCUAUUAAGUUUGAGUAUUGAAUCUAGUCGCCUAACUUUCCUUUGGGAAUAUCAAACGAGGUUGGUAAAUGAAAUUCACAAUAGUUAUUAGAGAGGCUGCUUCAGGUUCUUGCAAAUCUUUGUAAGUAUUCUGAAAUUUACAAUUUAUUCCUGCCUUUACAUCACCACGCAGCAAUAAGUACAACUAUUAACUAUUUGCUGCCAUUUUUAGUUUUACCACCAUUGAUGUUUUUUUGACUUCUGAAUUCUAAGAAUUUUCGAAAUUAUUAAGCUAGAUUGUACGGUAUAGUUCGAUUUGAUAGAAGUGGAAAAGCUUUUUUUAUUCAUUCAAGUUUGUUUACUGAAGUGUUUCUUGAGUAAGAAUAGGAAAACUUUAUGCUGCUUUAUAUUUGAUUGUAUUUAUUUCAGAAUUGACGUUACUGAAUGCUCCAAGACACGACGGAACUGGUGUAAAUGUCAAAAAUGUAAAAAAAAACCUAUUUGUAUUUGAGAUGGAAACUGCAUACCUGUUUCGAAUUUUUUUAUCCGCUUUAUCAUUUGUUGUGUACUCAAAAAAGUAUUAUUUCCUUUCCCUUCAGUAUUAUGUCAUGUUUAAUUUAAAACUUGACACAAUAUUUUGGAACCGAUUGAGAGUUGGAAGUGGGGGAUGUGUCCCAAAAGUCACAUCAUCUAACUACUGAUAAAGAAAAAUGUUUUUUCAAAUCAAACCUAUAUCAUAUCUUCACUGUUUACGUAAUUGCUAAUGUGUACCUUUUCAGGCUGCCCCCCACCCCUACAACUUUUUUAUCUCUCCCGGUAUAAUUGUGGUUAUUUUGUGGCUGAAAUGGUACCACAAUUUGGGUUUUCAAAUGGAACACCUAUUAUAUUUAUACUUUUAGUAUUCAGCAGUUUAUUAUAUACAAACAUCCUAUUUUGGUGAAAAAAUAGUGCGAAAUACUUUUUAUUUCUGAAAAAUAUUUGAUUUGCUACCAUAAGCUUUGAUUAACACAAAUCAGUUCUUCUGGUUUCAUUUGAACCACCAAAAUUCCACAUUUUCAUACCAGGAGAUACAAAAAACUUAUGGAGCGAGCCUGAAUCAGUUCACACACACUAUAGGAUUUGUAACGCAUGUCUGUUGAAAAUAUUUUUUUUGGAGAUUCGUUUCUGUGAAAAAAAACUUUGACUUCCAAUUCCUCACAUUUCUUCCUUAUUUUGGAAGUUUCCCAAAAUUUUUUGUAUUUGGAGGAGCGAAAUUCAAAAACUUUUUGUAUUUUGUUGAUAGAAAUUUUUGUAUUGACACCUCGUUGAAAAGUUCUGUCUUGGCAUAUUUGGUAAUUUGAUUUUUUUUUGUAUAUUUACUGAACAUAUUCAAUUCUAUAUAUAGUGAUGGUUUGUUAGUUAUGCUCAUUGUGUGAAUCGUUUUAUGCUUGUGUAGGAUGUAGUAUUCUUAAGGAAAGUGUGUAGUUUUUUGUUUAUCGAAGACUGCAAGCUUUCGAUACGCACAAACUGUUGAAUUGAUUGUGGUUAGAUUGGAAAUGUAUAUCAUGAUUAAUGUGAUUUUGUAAACAGCCAAUUUUCAGUGUAGUUCACUGGUACUUAGCCAAUAUUCUGAAAUGACGUGCUCAUCCUAUUCGUAUCUACAUUUAAAAAUGGCUCAUCUCAUUCAUGAUGCAAAUCAACUUGACAAUGUGCUCUUCCAAAUCUUUUUUGGAGAAUUUUUAAAGUUACUAAAUUUUCUAUCGGAGUUCUUGUAGCAAGGACGAAUAUUUUUGAUAAAACAAAAUAAAAUCAAAAAUGAUAAAAAGGCAGCGCGGUACUUUCUUCUGAAUGUAUGUUUCCCUUACACCUGAAAUUACUGCCAUUACUCAAUAUCGUCGUCGCCAAAAAUGAAAUGUUUCCCGUUGAGGAUCGUAUUUGCCUGCCAUUCGGGAACACACUGUAUAGCUAACCAAAUAUUAUUGUAAUUGAACGAAUUAUUUCUUGAAAAGAAAAUUGUUAGUAAUCUACUCAUCUAUUGUUAUUGAUAAUGCAAUAAUAUUGACAUCAAUAUUGUUAUUGAUAAAGACAAAAAAAGUGUCCGUCAGGGCUGAGGUACAUUGUCAUCAAUAAACAUUCAAUGUAUCGGAUGAUUUUUUUACUCUAACCCUGGAAAUCAAUUUAUACAUUGUAAUUCAUUAUAUUGAAUUCAGGACAGUUUUCCUUUCUUUCACGAACAAUUGUCAAAGAUUUUAAAUUAUGCCUUAGUGUGACAUUGGAUUGGUUAUUGUUAUUUGAACUUUGCAAAGGUGUCUGAAUUUUAAAGACGAGUUGAAAACAUUUUAACAUUGAAAUUAGUGACUCAGUAUUGGUAUUAUAUAUUUUUUGUGUAAUUUUUUAAUAUUACAUGUAAA